UUUUCAAAUACACACAGGCAAAAUUUUAUUUUCCUUUAGCAUCAUUAAAAAAAAAAAAAAAAAUACAUUCUUAAAAAAAAAAAUAAAGUUCACAAGUUGCCUUCUUCAGUAACUCCAGAAAAAAUACAGUGUUUUCUAUCCUUAAAGACAGAUCACAUUUGCAAAGUCUGACAGUCUGCCUUAUACAACUUCAGUCUAUUAUUAAAGACAAGUAUUUCUAAAUGUACUCCAACUUGUAAAUAAAUUACAGGAGACAAACAUUGAAAUUAUUAUUCCACAGAAAUAAAACCAAACACUAAUUCAGUGAACUUCUGUAAAAAUUUUUUGCAAGAUCCACAGUCUCUGCAAAAACUACACCACAGUCAGUUAAGUUUGAAAAAGUCUGUGUUGUAAUUUUAUAUUGUAUUCACUUUUGUUGACAUGCACACCUGCCAUUUCGAUGCUACCGACUGGUUCAGAGCUAACAUUAUAUAGAAUAAGAAUAGCAUUAACUUGAGAAUGAACCAAAAAUCUAAAAGCUGGCUGCCCUCUGCUUCAGGCAAUCUGAACAGGAGAAGGUGAAAAAACUUUUUCACAAGGAGAGUAUGAAAAACUUUCAGAACACUGGCAGCUUACAGAAGAAAAGAUCCCCUUUUUCUUUCCCCUCCCUUCCACACUUGGUUUUGGUUUGCAUAGAAAAGGGAAUGUUCUGUCUAGUUUUGGUAGGCUCUUAUUUUUUGGUUUAGCUAUUACACAUGUAACAAAAAACAAAAAACAACGAUGACAAAAAAACCCCACAACAAACAAAACAACAACAACAACGACAACAAAAAAAAAAGGAAAAGAAAAAGAAAAUGAAAAUACAAGCAACCAGACAAACAACAUUAAAAAUCUCUAAUCACUACAGUUUGUGUGCUUUAUUUCACAUGAUAAAUAUCUCACUUUUGGGUACCACAGUUACAUCUUUUUGUUCAGGACAGGCAAAAUGAUUUUCCAUUUCCCUUCACAUGUAACAUACCUAUUUAACUGCAUUCCAAAACCCUAAUUUUCUGUAGUCUUUUACCCUGCCUCCAUGUUUUCAAGCAUUCUUGCUAGACAUCAUAGCCUCCCCAAUACACCUCCAGACAGCUUACUAUCCAGUACCCAAUAGUGAUUAGCCCAUCCACUCAGACAAUUUUUUGUCAGCUUUUGCAACUGACAUAACGCUGUUUCUUCAAGAAGGCAGAAGCAUGCUUAGUUUUCUCCCAAGCAAAAAAAAAAAAAAAAAGAAUCCAAAUCGAAACAAGUUUUCUGUGAGUAGAUGUACAACCAUGAAACAACUGAUCAGGUCUCCAUUUCAGUCUCCAUGGUAUCAGUCCUUGAAGGAGGUUUAGUUUCUGAUGGAGUCUCUCCAUCUAGGUUCUGAAUAUCAGACAAAUCAAUAGCAGGCAAUGGUGUUCUCCAAUACAGGAAUGAGUUAUACUGACAGAAUUCUUCUUCUGCGAUGGCGGCACGCUCUUUGCCCUGGCUACCUGCGCGUCCCUCCGCCGUCCGCUCGUCCUGGGGCGCCGCGGCCGCGCCGCGCCGCCACCGCCUGCCCCCGGCGUCUCCCUGCUCGCCGCGGGGGCUGCUCCCCCGCAGCCCGGGCCGCUUGCCCGGCGGCGCGUCAGCCUCCUCCAGCUUCCGCUUCGGGGCGGCAGGGCCGGCGCCCGCCCCUUCGGCCCUGGGGCGCCGCUCGGGCGCGGCAGCGCGGGGCAGCGGCGGCUCGCGCAGGAGCCGUUUGACGGGCACGUGACACACCAAGGGCUCCGCGCGCCGCUUGGCCAUCGGGCCGCUGGCUCCGGGAGGUGCGCGACCCCCGCCGGUGCACGCACGGCCGCCGCGCCGGGCAGCGC
Molecule: long non-coding RNA, 1853 nt
Filed under: Strigops habroptila (Kakapo)
Lineage: Eukaryota; Metazoa; Chordata; Aves; Psittaciformes; Psittacidae
Description: lncRNA (ENSSHBG00005014503.1)
Source: RNAcentral